This 275-nucleotide long non-coding RNA is filed under the name Gossypium barbadense (sea-island cotton). RNAcentral describes it as "long non-coding RNA (GBAR_LNC013598)". Lineage: Eukaryota; Viridiplantae; Streptophyta; Magnoliopsida; Malvales; Malvaceae. The record is from RNAcentral.
AAGAACUUCAUACCAAGCCGGAAAGGACAUUAUCUGGAAAAGCGUCGAUUUUGAUCAGAAUGGAUAACAAGGACAUGCCUAUCCCUAUGAGUUUAGAUUCAAUAAAAAAAUAUUUAAAAAAAAAAAGAAAAAAAAGAAAAAAGAGAGGACUAAGGUAAAAACCUGCAAAGGGCAGCUUGAGUCCCAAAAAAAAAGUGAUGUGAAAAAAAUGAAGAAAUGAAAACAAAAAUAAAAUGGAGAGGCUAAGGUGAAAACCCGCAAAGGGCACCUUAGAC